GGGAGGGAGGGAGGGAGGCAGGGAGGCAGGCCGGGGCAGCCCCUCCUAGCCCAACCAAUCACAUGCCCUGUACAGACUGUCAUUUCUCUGAGCGCUUAAACAUGUGAGAGCGAGCGAGCGAGCGCGAGGGUGGCGCCUGAGCGGGGGCCUGGUGUUUGUCAUUUGAGCGGGGUGGAGCUUGCCCCGGCGCUCACGGAGUGGCCCACCCGUUUCUGCUUUACCCGCACAGACAGGAAGUAGCACACGUGGCGUCACAGUGACACCUGCUGGACAGGUAUUGGAUAGGAAGGAAGUCCUUAUUUCCUGCAGUAAAAGAUAAAACACUGGAUUUGUUCGGUCACAGCCUCAACCAUCAAAGGAUUUUGUUACAAAACACAAUGCCAUGAGGAUAACUGCCCGUGCAGAAAUAGUUCAAAGGCAGUUAUUCAUUUCAAAUCCUUUUUUCUAAAUAAGUAACUUAUUUUUUUCCAGUCUCUCAAGAAGUCAGUGUUAGUCAGUGUAAUGUAGAUUUGCAUAAAUUAGCAUAAAAUGCUCAUCUGUUAUAUACUGUCUGCUGUUCAGGUGCUGGAAUGUCCAGAUAAUGUUUACAUGUGUAAAUAAACAAUAAAUGGCAAAAAAAAAGAAAACGUAUUUAUGAAUCGUCAGAAUUCCAGUAUACUUAGUUCAGUUCUGGUUCUGUGUGGGAUGAGACCGUGGCUGGAUUCGAGACAGGUAUGAUGAUGAUGUUGUUGUUGUUGUUUUUUAUUUUAAAUAUAUGCUGUAUAAAUGCACAGGACUGUCUCUAGUACAGUGGAUUUUUUUUGUAUGCUGUAAAAAUGCACCGGACAAUGCUGACACUUAACUGUACGGGAUACGUAAUCCCCACUUGUAUGCACAUAGUAUAUCUAUCUCCUGUACCUGCACCUCACCCAAAAACCUUACAGUUUGUGUAUCGCAUCAAGGCAAGGACCAAAAAAUGUAAAAAGAUGUGAAAUAUGUUGAUUGUUGCUUUUAAUAUUCUUUGGGGCUUUUUUUUGGUCACUUUAGCUUAUGGAUAUAGAGGAGUCUUGUUGUAGUUUGUCUUUUGGUUAAUUGAAAUGUGUUUUCUCGUGCCUUCCAAAUAAGCCCAAAGUAUAAAUACCACACUGGUCAACCACAGCGGGUGAACAGAUCAACUGCAGCAGGUCAGGUCAGGAGUGACUUUCAGUCCCGUCUGUUUUUGACCCUUAAGUGCAAUUCACGCCCAACUUGCCUCUUAAAUAUUUAGCCUAUAGUCCUCACAAGAUUUUAAUUAUUCCCUUUAUCCUAGUAAUUACAAUGUUCAUAAUACAUUUCAAAACUAAAAUCUUCCACUUUCAUCAUCGAUUAGUCAAUACAUUUCAGGUCCAUUUCCCCUUGUCCACAUUCUCGUGUGUGUGUGUGUCUGUGUUUGACUCUGGCCAAGGAGUGGUUUCCUCUGCACCUGUGACUACUCAGCCAAAAUGUGUGUGAUUCUGCAGUCUUGGAUUCGUUGAUGCUGAUAUGAUGUCUCUGCUUCUUGAUUUUAUGGGUCUGUCAAGUUUGCCUGUGAGUUUAUAGUUUUAUAGGUUUCUUUCAAUAAAGUAUACUUUGCUGCUUUUGUAAA
This is a long non-coding RNA of Clupea harengus (Atlantic herring), 1603 nucleotides long. RefSeq lists it as uncharacterized. The transcript has 2 exons. The record is from RefSeq and is a predicted model, not a curated record. NCBI's taxonomy places the organism in Eukaryota, Metazoa, Chordata, Actinopteri, Clupeiformes, Clupeidae.